GACGAACGCUGGCGGCGUGCCUAACACAUGCAAGUCGAACGGGGUUGAGCCCUUCGGGACUCAACUUAGUGGCGAACGGGUGAGUAACGCGUGAGAAACCUGCCUUUCAGUGGGGGGACAACAGUUGGAAACGACUGCUAAUACCGCAUAACGUAUUUAGGGGGCAUCCCUUGAAUACCAAAGCUUUAUGUGCUGAAAGAUGGUCUCGCGUCUGAUUAGCUAGAUGGCGGGGUAACGCCCACCAUGGCGACGAUCAGUAGCCGGUCUGAGAGGAUGAACGGCCACAUUGGGACUGAGAUACGGCCCAGACUCCUACGGGAGGCAGCAGUGGGGAAUAUUGGGCAAUGGGGGAAACCCUGACCCAGCAACGCCGCGUGAAGGAAGAAGGCCUCGGGUUGUAAACGUUACUUUUACGUCAGGGACGAAGGACGUGACGGUACC
RNAcentral lists this ribosomal RNA (441 nucleotides) under uncultured bacterium. RNAcentral describes it as "bacterial SSU rRNA". It matches the Rfam family "Bacterial small subunit ribosomal RNA", at positions 28 to 479 of the family's 1533-position model. The record is from RNAcentral.